GUGCUCGCUUCAGUAGCACAUAUACUAAAAUUGGAACGAUACAGAGAAGAUUAGCAUAAAACCGCACAAGGGAUGAUACAUAAAAGUUAGUAUCACUACAUUUGUUU
Molecule: small nuclear RNA, 107 nt
Organism: Puma concolor (puma)
Lineage: Eukaryota; Metazoa; Chordata; Mammalia; Carnivora; Felidae
Source: RefSeq, a predicted model, not a curated record